GGAGCUUGCUCUUGCUGACGACCGGCGCACGGGUGCGUAACGCGUAUACAAUCUGCCUUACACUAAGGGAUAGCCCAGAGAAAUUUGGAUUAACACCUUAUAGUUUAUUUUUAUGGCAUCAUUUAAAUAAUAAAGUUUACGGUGUAAGAUGAGUAUGCGUCCCAUUAGUUUGUUGGUAAGGUAACGGCUUACCAAGACUACGAUGGGUAGGGGCCCUGAGAGGGGGAUCCCCCACACUGGUACUGAGACACGGACCAGACUCCUACGGGAGGCAGCAGUGAGGAAUAUUGGACAAUGGAGGAGACUCUGAUCCAGCCAUGCCGCGUGCAGGAAGACGGUCCUAUGGAUUGUAAACUGCUUUUAUACAGGAAGAAUAAGGACUACGUGUAGUCUGGUGACGGUACUGUAAGAAUAAGGACCGGCUAACUCCGUGCCAGCAGCCGCGGUAAUACGGAGGGUCCGAGCGUUAUCCGGAAUUAUUGGGUUUAAAGGGUCCGUAGGCGGGCUGUUAAGUCAGGGGUGAAAGUUUGCAGCUCAACUGUAGAAUUGCCUUUGAUACUGAUGGUCUUGAAUUAUUGUGAAGUGGUUAGAAUAUGUAGUGUAGCGGUGAAAUGCAUAGAUAUUACAUAGAAUACCGAUUGCGAAGGCAGAUCACUAACAAUUGAUUGACGCUGAUGGACGAAAGCGUGGGUAGCGAACAGGAUUAGAUACCCUGGUAGUCCACGCCGUAAACGAUGGAUACUAGCUGUUUGGAUUUCGAUCUGAGCGGCCAAGCGAAAGUGAUAAGUAUCCCACCUGGGGAGUACGUUCGCAAGAAUGAAACUC
RNAcentral lists this ribosomal RNA (825 nucleotides) under Cellulophaga sp. RHA_31. RNAcentral describes it as "bacterial SSU rRNA". It matches the Rfam family "Bacterial small subunit ribosomal RNA", at positions 75 to 902 of the family's 1533-position model. Lineage: Bacteria; Pseudomonadati; Bacteroidota; Flavobacteriia; Flavobacteriales; Flavobacteriaceae. The record is from RNAcentral.